RNAcentral lists this ribosomal RNA (253 nucleotides) under uncultured bacterium. RNAcentral's name for it is "partial 16S ribosomal RNA". It matches the Rfam family "Bacterial small subunit ribosomal RNA", at positions 524 to 776 of the family's 1533-position model. The record is from RNAcentral.
UACGUAGGUGGCAAGCGUUAUCCGGAUUUAUUGGGCGUAAAGGGAACGCAGGCGGUCUUUUAAGUCUGAUGUGAAAGCCUUCGGCUUAACCGGAGUAGUGCAUUGGAAACUGGGAGACUUGAGUGCAGAAGAGGAGAGUGGAACUCCAUGUGUAGCGGUGAAAUGCAUAGAUAUCACGCAGAACUCCGAUUGCGAAGGCAGCGUACCGGCAUCCAACUGACGCUGAGGCACGAAAGCGUGGGGAUCAAACAGG